RNAcentral lists this small RNA (1407 nucleotides) under Fusarium oxysporum. Its description in RNAcentral is "eukaryotic LSU rRNA". The stretch from base 501 to 1407 matches the Rfam family "Eukaryotic large subunit ribosomal RNA", at positions 1 to 938 of the family's 3401-position model. The record is from RNAcentral. Lineage: Eukaryota; Fungi; Ascomycota; Sordariomycetes; Hypocreales; Nectriaceae.
UCGUAACAAGGUCUCCGUUGGUGAACCAGCGGAGGGAUCAUUACCGAGUUUACAACUCCCAAACCCCUGUGAACAUACCACUUGUUGCCUCGGCGGAUCAGCCCGCUCCCGGUAAAACGGGACGGCCCGCCAGAGGACCCCUAAACUCUGUUUCUAUAUGUAACUUCUGAGUAAAACCAUAAAUAAAUCAAAACUUUCAACAACGGAUCUCUUGGUUCUGGCAUCGAUGAAGAACGCAGCAAAAUGCGAUAAGUAAUGUGAAUUGCAGAAUUCAGUGAAUCAUCGAAUCUUUGAACGCACAUUGCGCCCGCCAGUAUUCUGGCGGGCAUGCCUGUUCGAGCGUCAUUUCAACCCUCAAGCACAGCUUGGUGUUGGGACUCGCGUUAAUUCGCGUUCCCCAAAUUGAUUGGCGGUCACGUCGAGCUUCCAUAGCGUAGUAGUAAAACCCUCGUUACUGGUAAUCGUCGCGGCCACGCCGUUAAACCCCAACUUCUGAAUGUUGACCUCGGAUCAGGUAGGAAUACCCGCUGAACUUAAGCAUAUCAAUAAGCGGAGGAAAAGAAACCAACAGGGAUUGCCCUAGUAACGGCGAGUGAAGCGGCAACAGCUCAAAUUUGAAAUCUGGCUCUCGGGCCCGAGUUGUAAUUUGUAGAGGAUACUUUUGAUGCGGUGCCUUCCGAGUUCCCUGGAACGGGACGCCAUAGAGGGUGAGAGCCCCGUCUGGUUGGAUGCCAAAUCUCUGUAAAGUUCCUUCAACGAGUCGAGUAGUUUGGGAAUGCUGCUCUAAAUGGGAGGUAUAUGUCUUCUAAAGCUAAAUACCGGCCAGAGACCGAUAGCGCACAAGUAGAGUGAUCGAAAGAUGAAAAGCACUUUGAAAAGAGAGUUAAAAAGUACGUGAAAUUGUUGAAAGGGAAGCGUUUAUGACCAGACUUGGGCUUGGUUAAUCAUCUGGGGUUCUCCCCAGUGCACUUUUCCAGUCCAGGCCAGCAUCAGUUUUCCCCGGGGGAUAAAGGCGGCGGGAAUGUGGCUCUCUUCGGGGAGUGUUAUAGCCCACCGUGUAAUACCCUGGGGGGGACUGAGGUUCGCGCAUCUGCAAGGAUGCUGGCGUAAUGGUCAUCAACGACCCGUCUUGAAACACGGACCAAGGAGUCGUCUUCGUAUGCGAGUGUUCGGGUGUCAAACCCCUACGCGUAAUGAAAGUGAACGCAGGUGAGAGCUUCGGCGCAUCAUCGACCGAUCCUGAUGUUCUCGGAUGGAUUUGAGUAAGAGCAUACGGGGCCGGACCCGAAAGAAGGUGAACUAUGCCUGUAUAGGGUGAAGCCAGAGGAAACUCUGGUGGAGGCUCGCAGCGGUUCUGACGUGCAAAUCGAUCGUCAAAUAUGGGCAUGGGGGCGAAAGACUAAUCGA